Molecule: unclassified non-coding RNA, 237 nt
Filed under: Hevea brasiliensis (rubber tree)
Lineage: Eukaryota; Viridiplantae; Streptophyta; Magnoliopsida; Malpighiales; Euphorbiaceae
Source: RNAcentral
CUCAUUUGAUCCAUGUAAGAUCUUAUCACUGACGUGAGGAAGAAAUUUGUUCAUUUCUGUCUUCGAAUAAGUAAUUUUAUGUGGCUCAGCUCCUCCAAGUACUUGAAUGGAGUAGAUUAAGACUUGCAAUACAUUACUUGUCCUGAAGUAUCCUUACAUCUGCGGAAGUGUGGAUGAGUGAUGAUUUAAAUUGCUGAUAAACUGAGAAUGUUUACCAUACAGUGGAAUUUGGCAUUC